UACGGAGGGGGCAAGCGUUAUUCGGAAUUAUUGGGCGUAAAGGGCGCGUAGGCGGCUAGAUGUGUCAAAGGUGAAAUCCCUCGGCUCAACUGACGAACUGCCUUUGAAACUGUCUGGCUUGAGGCCGGGAGAGGGUAGCGGAAUUCCCAGUGUAGCGGUGAAAUGCGUAGAUAUUGGGAGGAACACCAGUGGCGAAGGCGGCUACCUGGACCGGUUCUGACGCUGAGGCGCGAAAGCGUGGGUAGCAAACAGG
This 253-nucleotide ribosomal RNA is filed under the name uncultured bacterium. Its description in RNAcentral is "partial 16S ribosomal RNA". It matches the Rfam family "Bacterial small subunit ribosomal RNA", at positions 524 to 776 of the family's 1533-position model. The record is from RNAcentral.